GUCUAUGGCCAUGAUACCCUGAACAAGCUCAAUCCCGUCUGGACUCGGAAGCUAAGCGGGGUCGGGCUUGGUUAGUACUUGGAUGGGAGACCACCUAGGAAGACCAGGUGCUGUAGGCA
RNAcentral lists this ribosomal RNA (119 nucleotides) under Pteropus alecto (black flying fox). Lineage: Eukaryota; Metazoa; Chordata; Mammalia; Chiroptera; Pteropodidae. RNAcentral also lists the same sequence under 1 other name. The record is from RNAcentral.